CCAAUCAUCGGGGGGAGCCGCGUCGCGGCUGAGAGGUUCGCAAGAACGACCCCGGGAACCUGAUCCGGUUAAUGCCGGCGUAGGGACUGGUGACUUUCGUGGUG
Molecule: non-coding RNA, 104 nt
Filed under: Alphaproteobacteria bacterium
Lineage: Bacteria; Pseudomonadati; Pseudomonadota; Alphaproteobacteria
Description: TPP sequence
Rfam family: TPP riboswitch aptamer (THI element)
About the family: Vitamin B(1) in its active form thiamin pyrophosphate (TPP) is an essential coenzyme that is synthesised by coupling of pyrimidine and thiazole moieties in bacteria. The previously detected thiamin-regulatory element, thi box was extended, resulting in a new, highly conserved RNA secondary structure, the THI element, which is widely distributed in eubacteria and also occurs in some archaea. Analysis of operon structures identified a large number of new candidate thiamin-regulated genes, mostly transporters, in various prokaryotic organisms.
Source: RNAcentral